GAUGAACGCUAGCGGCAGGCUUAACACAUGCAAGUCGAACGGUAACAGAAAAAGCUUGCUUUUUGCUGACGAGUGGCGAACGGGUGAGUAACGCGUAUGCAACCUACCUUUAACUGAGGAAUAGCCCAGAGAAAUUUGGAUUAAUACCUCAUAAUAACAUUUAAUCUCAUGUUUAGAUGUUUAAAGCUUUUGCGGUUAAAGAUGGGCAUGCGUGACAUUAGUUUGUUGGUGUGGUAACGGCACACCAAGACUACGAUGUCUAGGGAGUCUGAGAGGAUGAUCCCCCACACUGGUACUGAGACACGGACCAGACUCCUACGGGAGGCAGCAGUGAGGAAUAUUGGUCAAUGGACGAAAGUCUGAACCAGCCAUGCCGCGUGAAGGAUGACGGCCCUACGGGUUGUAAACUUCUUUUGUUUAGGAAGAAACCCCUCUACGUGUAGAGGGCUGACGGUACUAUACGAAUAAGCACCGGCUAACUCCAUGCCAGCAGCCGCGGUAAUACGGACGGUGCUAGCGUUAUCCGGAAUUAUUGGGUUUAAAGGGUGCGUAGGCGGAAAUUCAAGUCAGUGGUGAAAGCCUGCAGCUCAACUGUAGAAUUGCCAUUGAUACUGAAUUUCUUGAAUCUAAUUGAAGAAGGCGGAAUAUGACAUGUAUCGGCGAAAUGCUUAGAUAUGUCAUAGAACACCGAUAGCGAAGGCAGCUUACUAAGUUAGUAUUGACGCUAAUGCACGAAAGCGUGGGGAGCGAACAGGAUUAGAUACCCUGGUAGUCCACGCCGUAAACGAUGAUUACUCGCUAUUGGCGAUACACAGUCAGUGGCUAAGCGAAAGCAUUAAGUAAUCCACCUGGGGAGUACGAUCGCAAGGUUGAAACUCAAAGGAAUUGACGGGGGCCCGCACAAGCGGUGGAGCAUGCGGUCUAAUUCGAUGAUACGCGAGGAACCUUACCAGGACUUAAAUGCAUAUCGAUCGGUUGAGAAAUCAACUUUUCUUCGGACGGUAUGCAAGGUGCUGCUUGGUUGUCGUCAGCUCGCGCCGUGAGGUGUCAGGUUAAGUCCUAUAACGAGCGCAACCCCUAUUCUUAGUUGCCAGCGGAUAAUGCCUGGGACUUUAAGAAAACUGUCAGCGUAAGCUGUGAGGAAGGUGGGGAUGACGUCAAAUCAUCACGGCCCUUACGUCCUGGGCCACACACGUGCUACAAUGGAUGGUACAAAGGGCAGCCACUUCCUAUCUCAGUUCGGAUUGGAGUCUGCAACUCGACUCUAUGAAGCUGGAAUCGCUAGUAAUCGCGCAUCAGCCAUGGCGCGGUGAAUACGUUCCCGGGCCUUGUACACACCGCCCGUCAAGCCAUGGAAGCUGGGAGUACCUGAAGUCGGUAACCAUAUAGGAGCUGCCUAGGGUAAAACUAGUGACUGGGGCUAAGUCGUAACAAGGUAGCCGUACCGGAAGGUGCGGCUGGAACACCUCCUUUCUAGAGUGCUCUUAUUACAGAGUGCUAGUUUUCUUUCUUUAAUAUUAGACUUACCCAAUAGCUCAGUUCUUUUUGCUGAACUCAGGGCUAUUUAUAGUCCCUUAGCUCAGUUGGUUAGAGCGCUACACUGAUAAUGUAGAGGUCCGCAGUUCAAAUCUGCGAGGGACUACAAUGCUAUGGGGGAUUAGCUCAGCUGGCUAGAGCGCCUGCCUUGCACGCAGGAGGUCAUCGGUUCGACUCCGAUAUUCUCCACUAAACCUAUUUAUUGGUUUUAAGUUCUUUGACGUAUUUUAUUAAUUAAUCAUAAAAAGUACAUAACAAAUUGUUACUUAUUUAAGAGCUAUUAAGAGCGUAUGGCGGAUGCCUUGGCUCUCAGAGGCGAUGAAGGACGUAAUAAGCUGCGAUAAGCUGCGGUGAGGAGCAAAUAUCCUUUGAUCCGCAGAUUU
This 1919-nucleotide ribosomal RNA is filed under the name uncultured marine bacterium. RNAcentral's name for it is "bacterial SSU rRNA". The stretch from base 1 to 1473 matches the Rfam family "Bacterial small subunit ribosomal RNA". The record is from RNAcentral.